Pelobates cultripes (western spadefoot toad) is the source of this 87-nucleotide non-coding RNA. The record is from the annotation of a GenBank genome assembly. NCBI's taxonomy places the organism in Eukaryota, Metazoa, Chordata, Amphibia, Anura, Pelobatidae.
GGGGGUGGGAGGGAGAGGGGACCUGCAGUGCCAGGAAAACGGAUUGUACUGCAGGUCCCCUCUCCCUCCUACCCCCUAUCCCAAGUU